RNAcentral lists this ribosomal RNA (514 nucleotides) under uncultured bacterium. Its description in RNAcentral is "partial 16S ribosomal RNA". It matches the Rfam family "Bacterial small subunit ribosomal RNA", at positions 28 to 523 of the family's 1533-position model. The record is from RNAcentral.
GAUGAACGCUGGCGGCGUGCCUAAUACAUGCAAGUCGAGCGAAUGGAUUGAGAGCUUGCUCUUAUGAAGUUAGCGGCGGACGGGUGAGUAACACGUGGGUAACCUGCCCAUAAGACUGGGAUAACUCCGGGAAACCGGGGCUAAUACCGGAUAACAUUUUGAACCGCAUGGUUCGAAAUUGAAAGGCGGCUUCGGCGGUCACUUAUGGAUGGACCCGGGUCGCAUUAGCUAGUUGGUGAGGUAACGGCUCCCAAGGCAACGAUGCGUAGCCGACCUGAGAGGGUGAUCGGCCACACUGGGACUGAGACACGGCCCAGACUCCUACGGGAGGCAGCAGUAGGGAAUCUUCCGCAAUGGACGAAAGUCUGACGGAGCAACGCCGCGUGAGUGAUGAAGGCUUUCGGGUCGUAAAACUCUGUUGUUAGGGAAGAACAAGUGCUAGUUGAAUAAGCUGGCACCUUGACGGUACCUAACCAGAAAGCCACGGCUAACUACGUGCCAGCCGCCGCAGUAA